AACCUUUGAUUAUUAUGCCUCUGGUAAAGUUAUUGCACUGUGCAUUUUUCUAAUUGGUUUCCGUAUGUGUUUAACUUGCACUUUUAUAGUAGCACUUGAAAUGUGUCUUGGUGUUCAAUUCUAUGCAUUAAAACAUCUAGCUUAGCUUGAAUGGUGGAGAGUAGUACACUGGAGCUCAAUCUUUUGCCACUGUACAUGUUAAAAGAACAGUAUAUUCUAAUGUUUGAGUGGACAAAAGCUAGGAUUCCCUCGAGUAAUUACUCAUCACCUUAUCUUUUACUUGCCAAUUGCCAAUGCCAUCCA
RNAcentral lists this unclassified non-coding RNA (303 nucleotides) under Hevea brasiliensis (rubber tree). Lineage: Eukaryota; Viridiplantae; Streptophyta; Magnoliopsida; Malpighiales; Euphorbiaceae. The record is from RNAcentral.